This 449-nucleotide ribosomal RNA is filed under the name uncultured bacterium. RNAcentral describes it as "partial 16S ribosomal RNA". It matches the Rfam family "Bacterial small subunit ribosomal RNA", at positions 338 to 795 of the family's 1533-position model. The record is from RNAcentral.
CCUACGGGUGGCAGCAGUGGGGAAUUUUGGACAAUGGGGGCAACCCUGAUCCAGCCAUUCCGCGUGAGUGAAGAAGGCCUUCGGGUUGUAAAGCUCUUUCGCAAGGGAAGAAAACUUACUCAAUAACACUGGUUGAGGCUGACGGUACCUUGAUAAGAAGCACCGGCUAACUACGUGCCAGCAGCCGCGGUAAUACGUACGGUGCGAGUGGUAAUCGGAAUUACUGGGCGUGAAGCGUGAGCCGGCUGUUAAAUCCCCGGGCUCAACCUGGGAACUGCGGUUGAAACUACCAGGCUAGAGUAUGGCAGAGGGGAGUAGAAUUCCACGUGUAGCAGUGAAAUGCGUAGAGAUGUGGAGGAAUACCAAUGGCGAAGGCAGCCCCCUGGGUCAAUACUGACGCUCAUGCACGAAAGCGUGGGGAGCAAACAGGAUUAGAUACCCCAGUAGUC